CAGCUAUCGCUCGAAGAGUCGGUCCUGGCCGGCGCAUCAGCUUAGUUGGUGGGGUAACGGCCUACCAAGGCGAAGACGCGUAGCUGGUCUGAGAGGAUGAUCAGCCACACUGGCACUGAAACACGGGCCAGACUCCUACGGGAGGCAGCAGUGGGGAAUAUUGGACAAUGGGCGCAAGCCUGAUCCAGCCACGCCGCGUGAGUGAUGAAGGCCUUCGGGUUGUAAAGCUCUGUGGGGAGGGGCGAAAACGGCCGGUAAGAAACGACCGGUCCUUGACGGUACCUCCUUAGCAAGCACCGGCUAACUCUGUG
This 311-nucleotide ribosomal RNA is filed under the name uncultured bacterium. Its description in RNAcentral is "bacterial SSU rRNA". It matches the Rfam family "Bacterial small subunit ribosomal RNA", at positions 207 to 507 of the family's 1533-position model. The record is from RNAcentral.